This 497-nucleotide ribosomal RNA is filed under the name uncultured bacterium. Its description in RNAcentral is "partial 16S ribosomal RNA". It matches the Rfam family "Bacterial small subunit ribosomal RNA", at positions 28 to 507 of the family's 1533-position model. The record is from RNAcentral.
GAUGAACGCUGGCGGCGUGCCUAAUACAUGCAAGUCGAGCGAACAGACGAGGAGCUUGCUCCUUUGACGUUAGCGGCGGACGGGUGAGUGACACGUAGGUAACCUACCUAUAAGACUGGGAUAACUUCGGGAAACCGGAGCUAAUACCGGAUAAUAUUUCGAACCGCAUGGUUCGAUAGUGAAAGAUGGCUUUGCUAUCACUUAUAGAUGGACCUGCGCCGUAUUAGCUAGUUGGUAAGGUAACGGCUUACCAAGGCAACGAUACGUAGCCGACCUGAGAGGGUGAUCGGCCACACUGGAACUGAGACACGGUCCAGACUCCUACGGGAGGCAGCAGUAGGGAAUCUUCCGCAAUGGGCGAAAGCCUGACGGAGCAACGCCGCGUGAGUGAUGAAGGUCUUCGGAUCGUAAAACUCUGUUAUUAGGGAAGAACAAACGUGUAAGUAACUGUGCACGUCUUGACGGUACCUAAUCAGAAAGCCACGGCUAACUACGUG